GACGAACGCUGGCGGCGUGCCUAAUACAUGCAAGUCGAGCGGACGGAUGGGAGCUUGCUCCCAGACCGUCAGCGGCGGACGGGUGAGUAACACGUGGGCAACCUGCCUGUAAGACUGGGAUAACUCCGGGAAACCGGGGCUAAUACCGGAUAACUCUUUCCCUCACAUGAGGGAAAGCUGAAAGAUGGCAUCUCGCUAUCACUUACAGAUGGGCCCGCGGCGCAUUAGCUAGUUGGUGAGGUAACGGCUCACCAAGGCGACGAUGCGUAGCCGACCUGAGAGGGUGAUCGGCCACACUGGGACUGAGACACGGCCCAGACUCCUACGGGUGGCAGCAGUAGGGAAUCUUCCGCAAUGGACGAAAGUCUGACGGAGCAACGCCGCGUGAGUGAUGAAGGUUUUCGGAUCGUAAAACUCUGUUGUCAGGGAAGAACAAGUACCGGAGUAACUGCCGGUACCUUGACGGUACCUGACCAGAAAGCCACGGCUAACUACGUG
RNAcentral lists this ribosomal RNA (498 nucleotides) under uncultured bacterium. RNAcentral describes it as "partial 16S ribosomal RNA". It matches the Rfam family "Bacterial small subunit ribosomal RNA", at positions 28 to 507 of the family's 1533-position model. The record is from RNAcentral.